RNAcentral lists this long non-coding RNA (535 nucleotides) under Homo sapiens (human). RNAcentral describes it as "non-protein coding lnc-WHRN-1:1". Lineage: Eukaryota; Metazoa; Chordata; Mammalia; Primates; Hominidae. The record is from RNAcentral.
AGUGCCUUGCCCUAGGUCACACAGCUAGAAGGUGGCAGAACCAGGCUGGGCAGCCAGGGAUGUCUGACUCCAGAGCUUGUGCCCUGGGCUGCUUGGCUCCCAGGACAGGCCAACCCCUGCGUCAGGGCUGCCUGGCAGAACUCAAGGAUGGUCUUCUCUUCCCAUGCCAGGGAGGCCACGGAGAAGAUGGUAUCUAUGAAGCCACCAGGUUUCCAGGCAUCCCUGGCUAGAGACGGGCACAUGUCAGGCCUGGGCAAGGCUGAGGCAGCCCCUCCAGGCCCUGGCGUGCCACCCCACCCUCCAGGCACCAAGUCCGCAGCAUCCCACCAAAGUAGUAUGACCAGCCUGGAGGGAAGCGGCAUCUCUGAGCGCCUUCCACAGAAGCCUUUGCACCGAGGCGGUGGGCCCCACCUGGAGGAGACCUGGAUGGCGUCCCCAGAGACAGACAGUGGCUUUGUGGGCUCAGAAACAAGCAGAGUUUCACCCCUCACCCAGACUCCAGAGCACCGGCUCUCCCACAUCAGCACAGCAGGAA